Molecule: ribosomal RNA, 243 nt
Filed under: uncultured bacterium
Lineage: Bacteria
Description: partial 16S ribosomal RNA
Rfam family: Bacterial small subunit ribosomal RNA
Source: RNAcentral
UAGGGAGCGAGCGUUAUCCGGAAUUAUUGGGUGUAAAGGGUGCGUAGGCGGUUUUAUAAGUCAGUGGUGAAAGCCCGGAGCUCAACUCCGGUAAGCCAUUGAAACUGUAGAACUUGAGUAUGGUAGAGGCAAGCGGAAUUUCUAGUGUAGCGGUAGAAUGCGUAGAUAUUAGAAGGAACACCAGUGGCGAAGGCGGCUUGCUGGGCCAAAACUGACGCUGAGGCACGAAAGCGUGGGGAGCGA